Molecule: ribosomal RNA, 702 nt
Filed under: Oerskovia sp.
Lineage: Bacteria; Bacillati; Actinomycetota; Actinomycetes; Micrococcales; Cellulomonadaceae
Description: bacterial SSU rRNA
Rfam family: Bacterial small subunit ribosomal RNA
Source: RNAcentral
ACACAUGCAGUCGAACGGUGAUGACCAGCUUGCUGGUCGGAUCAGUGGCGAACGGGUGAGUAACACGUGAGUAACCUGCCCCAGACUCUGGGAUAAGCCUUGGAAACGAGGUCUAAUACUGGAUAUGAGAUGCCCCUGCAUGGGGAGUGUCUGGAAAGAUUUAUCGGUCUGGGAUGGACUCGCGGCCUAUCAGCUUGUUGGUGGGGUAAUGGCCUACCAAGGCGACGACGGGUAGCCGGCCUGAGAGGGCGACCGGCCACACUGGGACUGAGACACGGCCCAGACUCCUACGGGAGGCAGCAGUGGGGAAUAUUGCACAAUGGGCGCAAGCCUGAUGCAGCGACGCCGCGUGAGGGAUGAAGGCCUUCGGGUUGUAAACCUCUUUCAGCAGGGAAGAAGCGCAAGUGACGGUACCUGCAGAAGAAGCGCCGGCUAACUACGUGCCAGCAGCCGCGGUAAUACGUAGGGCGCAAGCGUUGUCCGGAAUUAUUGGGCGUAAAGAGCUCGUAGGCGGUUUGUCGCGUCUGGUGUGAAAACUCAAGGCUCAACCUUGAGCUUGCAUCGGGUACGGGCAGACUAGAGUGCGGUAGGGGUGACUGGAAUUCCUGGUGUAGCGGUGGAAUGCGCAGAUAUCAGGAGGAACACCGAUGGCGAAGGCAGGUCACUGGGCCGCAACUGACGCUGAGGAGCGAAAGCAUGGGG